Molecule: long non-coding RNA, 1066 nt
Filed under: Monodelphis domestica (gray short-tailed opossum)
Lineage: Eukaryota; Metazoa; Chordata; Mammalia; Didelphimorphia; Didelphidae
Description: lncRNA (ENSMODG00000045294.1)
Source: RNAcentral
AUGGGUGCCCUCUCCUUAAGAAUAUAGCGAUCCGAGGAGAGUUUUCCUUAGCUUCUGCCCCUCAUCCCACAUUGGCAAGACUAUGCCGUUUUUGCAACUGACGCUCUGGGGUUCCAAGAGGACCGCAGGCUGCCUGAUCACUUUCUCCACUGCUUUCUGGUUCCCCUCCCUCUUUCGGCGUUUUCUCGAUAUCCUUGACACUCACCAGGGGGAAAUAAACUAAAAGUGGGGUGAGGGGGUGUGGGGAAAACUACUUCCUACUUCUCUCUUCCUUCCACCCCAAGUUUCUAAAAGAAGGUUGGGAAGAGUCCCCUCAGCUGGGGAGGUGGACUUGGGUAGGGAGAAAAGUGCAUCUGCCCCAACGUGCCCAGGCCCGUGAGGUGCCCAGGGACCCUCCCCAAACUGGGCUGCAGCCACACAGAGGAGCCAGCGAGUCAGCUAAGCCAAUUUUGCCCCCACCUCGUGCAGCCGCUUGCGCUGGCUGAGAGUUGCGUGCGUUUUGUCGACUAGCCCUUUUUAUUUGGCACUUUGGGGCUGUUCCCUCCGCCCCUUUCCCCCGCCCCCCACAACAGCUUCCCCUCUUCAGUGAAUCACCGAACUGUAAGCUGUUCCCUCCUUCUCCCUUAGGAAGAGGGGGGAAAGGAGGAAGACGGGAACUGCAAGAAGUGCUUUGAGGGUAGGGGUGGGAGUGAGGUGAGGUGGGGUGGGGGGAGUGGUGAGAGCAAUCCCAGGAGAGCUGUUUCGGCUAGAAUUGUAUCUCGGUGGCGAUCUCUGCUCUUCUGGAUUAUCCGAAGAGGCAAGAAAUUUUUAGAGUUGUGGAGUAAGGAAAAUGGCGAGAAGCUUCCCUAUUUGGAUAUCAUGAUUGCAACUCCUGCCUUCUUUCUAUCAGUUGAGGCCCAGAAGGUCUUACUCCAUCCUUUAAUUCGGACCUUGUGAGUGUCUACCCGCCUCAUGUGUGUUUCUUGAAGACAACAAAUGGUAGUGUUUUGGGUUCUAAUUCAAUUUGCUAUUCGUCUACGUUUUAUGGGUGAGUUCAUCCCAUUCAUGUUCAAAGUUAUGAUUGUCA